GGAUUAGAUACCCUGGUAGUCCACGCCGUAAACGAUGUCUACUAGUUGUCUGAGGGUUUAACCUUUGGGUAACGCAGCUAACGCACUAAGUAGACCGCCUGGGGAGUACGGCCGCAAGGUUAAAACUCAAAUGAAUUGACGGGGGCCCGCACAAGCGGUGGAGCAUGUGGUUUAAUUCGAUGCAACGCGAAGAACCUUACCUGCCCUUGACAUACUCGGAACUUACCAGAGAUGGUUUGGUGCCUUCGGGAACCGAGAUACAGGUGCUGCAUGGCUGUCGUCAGCUCGUGCCG
This 293-nucleotide ribosomal RNA is filed under the name uncultured bacterium. RNAcentral's name for it is "partial 16S ribosomal RNA". It matches the Rfam family "Bacterial small subunit ribosomal RNA", at positions 775 to 1067 of the family's 1533-position model. The record is from RNAcentral.